Molecule: ribosomal RNA, 289 nt
Filed under: uncultured bacterium
Lineage: Bacteria
Description: partial 16S ribosomal RNA
Rfam family: Bacterial small subunit ribosomal RNA
Source: RNAcentral
CCUACGGGAGGCAGCAGUGGGGAAUAUUGCACAAUGGGCGAAAGCCUGAUGCAGCAACGCCGCGUGAACGAAGAAGGCUCUUGGGUCGUAAAGUUCUGUUCUGAGGGAAGAAGAAAGUGACGGUACCUCAGGAGAAAGCCCCGGCUAACUACGUGCCAGCAGCCGCGGUAAUACGUAGGGGGCAAGCGUUAUCCGGAUUUACUGGGUGUAAAGGGAGCGUAGACGGCAGCGCAAGUCUGGAGUGAAAUGCCGGGGCUCAACCCCGGAACUGCUUUGGAAACUGUGCGGC